Molecule: long non-coding RNA, 527 nt
Organism: Rana temporaria (common frog)
Lineage: Eukaryota; Metazoa; Chordata; Amphibia; Anura; Ranidae
Exons: 3
Source: RefSeq, a predicted model, not a curated record
GUGAAAGUGUUCUUAAGGUAACCUGAAGUAAAAAAAAAAAGCUGGAAAAUUGAAAGGGUUGUCCAUAAAAAUGGAAGAGCUUGAUGUUAUACUGAAAAAAAUUAAAGAAAGAAGAUAAAUGGUUGCUAUAGGGAACCACCCCACUCUGACUCCACAUUUGAACCAAGUUAGCCCCCAUCAGAGCCCAUUAUAGGCCUUUCUAGCAGCUGUGUAGAGGCCAGCCAUGUGACCAUUUACCUCACACACAGCACUGGGAUGGAGUCCAAAGCAGCCAGGUGUCUAUAGGAGCCAUUGUGGACUGUCUGUGGUAUUAUAUGUCACUGCUGAGCACUGACGGUGAUUGCUUCCAUGAACUGAUCCCUCCAUGAAUGAGUCCCUACUACCAAGGCAAGAUGGAACCCAGGCCCUGACACUUAUCUGGCUGUAGCUGCUGAGUGCUGAUGUCCCCACCCUGAAGCCAAUAAUCUCCAGUCUCCACACUCCUCCUGAGGUAAGCUGUUGUGCGCUCUUCUACAGCAGCAUUUAUU